AUUCAUUUCGGCUUCUCUCCUACAAAACAUACAGAGAUCAUUCCCUUACUUAUUUCUGUGUCAGAAGAGCUCGUUCAGUUGAGCAGCCAUGUUGACUCCUAAUGCGGAUAUUGCUGAAGUUUACGUAUUGAGGAAACUCCAUAAAGAGAAGAUGAAGAGACUCGAAAAGAAGACACGUCAAGAAAAUGCGUUAAAAAAGGAUGAUCACGGUGCUGGAUCUGGUUGCUUCUCCAUUUUGUUCAAGAAAGUACAUCCAUCUUCUGUGCCAGAAUAAGAUUCUUAAAUCGACCAAGCUCUUCUCUGUGU
Molecule: long non-coding RNA, 306 nt
Filed under: Olea europaea (common olive)
Lineage: Eukaryota; Viridiplantae; Streptophyta; Magnoliopsida; Lamiales; Oleaceae
Description: long non-coding RNA (OEUR_LNC001634)
Source: RNAcentral